GUCCUAGCCGUAAACGGUGCAUAUUUGCUGUAAAAGGAAUCGACCCCUUUGUGGCGUAGCCAACGCGAUAAAUAUGCCGCCUGGGAAGUACGGUCGCAAGAUUAAACUCAAAGAAUUGACGGGGCCUGCACAAGCGGUGGAGUAUGUGGCUUAAUUCGAUGCAACGCGAAGAACCUUACCUGGCCUUGACAUGCAAGUAGUAGAAGGAUGAAAGUCCGACGAGGUAGCAAUACCAGCUUGCACAGGUGCUGCAUGGCUGUCGU
Molecule: ribosomal RNA, 263 nt
Filed under: uncultured bacterium
Lineage: Bacteria
Description: partial 16S ribosomal RNA
Rfam family: Bacterial small subunit ribosomal RNA
Source: RNAcentral